Molecule: ribosomal RNA, 253 nt
Filed under: uncultured bacterium
Lineage: Bacteria
Description: partial 16S ribosomal RNA
Rfam family: Bacterial small subunit ribosomal RNA
Source: RNAcentral
UACGAAGGGUGCAAACGUUGCUCGGAAUUAUUGGGCGUAAAGCGCACGUAGGCGGCUAUCUAAGUCGGAUGUGAAAUCCCUCGGCUUAACCAAGGAAGUGCACCCGAAACUGGAUAGCUUGAGUACAGAAGAGGAUCGCGGAAUUCCCGGUGUAGAGGUGAAAUUCGCAGAUAUCAGGAGGAACACCGGUGGCGAAGGCGGGUCUCUGGGCCGAAACUGACGCUGAGGAGCGAAAGCGUGGGGAGCAAACAGG